Molecule: non-coding RNA, 52 nt
Organism: Rhizobiales bacterium 62-17
Lineage: Bacteria; Pseudomonadati; Pseudomonadota; Alphaproteobacteria; Hyphomicrobiales
Source: Rfam
GAGGUUCGGGGUCAACGCCCGGCAGCGCAAUGCGCCCCCGGGCGCGCUUCGC